RNAcentral lists this ribosomal RNA (253 nucleotides) under uncultured bacterium. RNAcentral describes it as "partial 16S ribosomal RNA". It matches the Rfam family "Bacterial small subunit ribosomal RNA", at positions 524 to 776 of the family's 1533-position model. The record is from RNAcentral.
UACGUGGGGGGCAAGCGUUGUUCGGAAUUACUGGGCGUAAAGGGCUCGUAGGCGGCCAACUAAGUCAUACGUGAAAUCCCUCGGCUUAACCGGGGAACUGCGUCUGAUACUGGAUGGCUUGAGUUCGGGAGAGGGAUGCGGAAUUCCAGGUGUAGCGGUGAAAUGCGUAGAUAUCAGGAGGAACACCGAUGGCGAAGGCAGCUCGCUGGGACGGUACUGACGCUGAGGCGCGAAAGCGUGGGGAGCAAACAGG